GAGGGCAUAGCUCAAUGGUAGAGUGCAUGCUUAAUGUGCACAAGGUCCUGGGCUCAAUUCCCAGUAUCAUUA
RNAcentral lists this transfer RNA (72 nucleotides) under Camelus bactrianus (Bactrian camel). It matches the Rfam family "tRNA". Rfam says of the family: Transfer RNA (tRNA) molecules are approximately 80 nucleotides in length. RNAcentral also lists the same sequence under 3 other names. Lineage: Eukaryota; Metazoa; Chordata; Mammalia; Artiodactyla; Camelidae. The record is from Rfam by way of RNAcentral.